UGGAAUGUAGCUCAGUGGCAGAGCACUUGCCUAGAAUGCACCAGGCCCUGGGUUCCAUUCCCAGCACAG
This 69-nucleotide transfer RNA is filed under the name Marmota monax (woodchuck). RNAcentral describes it as "tRNA.Ser". The stretch from base 6 to 66 matches the Rfam family "tRNA", at positions 6 to 65 of the family's 71-position model. Rfam says of the family: Transfer RNA (tRNA) molecules are approximately 80 nucleotides in length. Their secondary structure includes four short double-helical elements and three loops (D, anti-codon, and T loops). Lineage: Eukaryota; Metazoa; Chordata; Mammalia; Rodentia; Sciuridae. The record is from RNAcentral.